GUAGGUGACGAGCGUUAUCCGGAAUUACUGGGCGUAAAGCGCACGCAAGCGGUCUGACAAGUCUGGCGUGAAAUCCCCUGGCUUAACCAGGGGCGGUCGCUGGAAACUGUUGGGCUUGAGGCGAUGAGAGGGGUGCAGAAUUCCCGGUGUAGUGGUGGAAUGCGUAGAGAUCGGGAGGAAUACCAGUGGCGAAAGCGGCACCCUGGCGUCGUGCUGACGCACAUGUGCGAAAGCGUGGGGAGCGAACGGGAUUAGAUACCCCGGUAGUCCACGCGGUAAACGAUGAACACUAGGUGUGGGUGGAGUCCAUCCGUCCGUGCCAAAGCCAACGCGUUAAGUGUUCCGCCUGGGAAGUACGGCCGCAAGGCUAAA
This 372-nucleotide ribosomal RNA is filed under the name uncultured bacterium. Its description in RNAcentral is "bacterial SSU rRNA". It matches the Rfam family "Bacterial small subunit ribosomal RNA", at positions 527 to 898 of the family's 1533-position model. The record is from RNAcentral.